This is a long non-coding RNA of Pseudophryne corroboree (corroboree frog), 813 nucleotides long. RefSeq lists it as uncharacterized. Lineage: Eukaryota; Metazoa; Chordata; Amphibia; Anura; Myobatrachidae. The record is from RefSeq and is a predicted model, not a curated record. The transcript has 2 exons.
GCCAGCUUACACUGAGCACUGAGCCGUGCCACCAUGUCCCCCAGCCUCCCUGCCCUGCUCUUGGGCCUGGUGACCGCUGCAUCAGGUAUUAGUAAUCUAAUCAGGGUCGUACUGCACACACUGCAACCCAUUAUAGAUACGCCGCUGAAUCUAAGGUCUCCGGUGAAGUUGUUACCCACCAGAUCUAAGAAUGUUUGUCCAGCAAAGGGCAACACGCUAUGCUCAGUAGUUAGCAUUGCUGCCUCCCAGCACCGAGGUCAUGAGUUCAGUUCCCGGUCAUGGCCCAUUGCGUGGUUUUCCUCCGGCUGCGGACUGGCCGGCUGCUUGGCUCCUGACAGCGAUAUGUCAGGGAAUUUAGGCUGUAAGCUCCCAUGGGCAGGGACUGACAUGAAUGACAUAUACUGUAUAUAUAUAGUUCUUUCACUUCUGGAUGUUUUCUUUAUGCAAAUAAGGUGAAGAUUAUUAGUGAAAAAGACGCCACAGCAGGUGCGGCCGUGUCGCCCAGGACCUCAGGACAAGAGCGGGUAUUCAGUGAGCAAUAGUGAGGUGACAUCUGGAGGCUGGAUUAUACUGCAAAGACCCCUGUAUCCCACCGAUCUGUCACAUGGUGUUAGCCUGCACCGCUCCACCAUACCACCCUAUACACCAACCCACACAUGCCCCCAAACAUUCAUUCUCCUAUACUCUCUUGUAAGCAACAUCACAAGGCAGAUUUAUGUGGCAGAGUUUUAUUUCCAUAUCACAUAAUGAGACGGAACAUAAGCACAUGUACAGAGGUGAUCAGAAGUGUCUAUACGCCCCCCCCCCCCCCCC